UUUUUCUUUUUCUAAACCUUUUCUUUCCAUGUUAGAAUCAAUGUUGUGUAUUGGUUCCAAGGCAGAAGAGCAGAAAGGGCUAGGAAAUGGAUUUUAAGUGGCUUGAGUGGGGCAGAGUCCUUGCUUAAUGGCAGUCAUGGACCACAGAGACCUUUAAGUAUGUGUUCAGGGACACCACACCUGGCUCCCCCACAGGGGAUCUUUCCAUGUAUGACUUUGGCUCCAGCUUCCUGCUAAUGCUUCCUGAAUCUUGUCAUAAAACCCAUCCUUUGCUCCAGAUUUUUCCUAGACAGAUUGCCUUAAUGUCAGCUCCAGCUGAUGCUCAUCAACAAUGUCUGAGUGAGUCAGGCUUGAAAAACAACUCCAGGAGCUCUCAAGUGAGCAAAGGUCACUGUGCUGUUCGGAUGCUCCCCAGAAUCUACUUUGGCCCCACUGGAUGGAGGCUUUUGGGACUCCAAUUUGAGCUUUUCCCACAACUUUACCCCUCUGGCCUUCCACUCUGCCAAGCACUGGAUGAGACUUGAAAUAUCCAAACAACUCUGGGAAGCAGCAGAAAGCACAAACCAGGGUUUGGGUCUUCCAUUUCCUGAUUUAGACUGGAUCAGCUCCUCUGUGGCUCCUCCACUCGCUUCUGGAGACAAAUGGUCAGUUUUUUUCUCUCCAAGAGGUUGAUCUCUCUGGAUUUAUUCAAGGUCACAUCCCACAGUAAUUAUCAAGGUAUACGCUUGGCUAAGUUUAGAGGACACUGUCUAUUUUCUGAAGCAGAUGUUGACAUGGAAGCUGCCAUUAUCGUCAUGGUGAUCUGUUUAUUUACAUCCAUCCUGAGUACUAGAAGACAAGAUGAACAUCUAUGGAGAGAGUGGAAUCGCAGAGUCCAAAUUCAAGCCAGGUUUUGUUGCCAGCAUCUCAUCCAUCCCCCUAACGAGCAAGGAGCAAUCUUGAGGAGGGAUCUUCAAAAUACCAGCCCAGCAGAAAGACUCAUUUGGUUGUCAUUAGCCAUCUACACAUGAACUUGGUGGGACGAAUGCUAUGUAGGAACUGAAUUAAGUUUUGAGGCCAUUUCUCCAGAGACUGAGGUGGAAUAGGGGAAAAGAAUACCCACAGUAAUUGUGCUGUAUAAUUACAGCAACCAGGUUUGGCCCAGGAGAAGAAACAAGAAAAUGUGUCCCCCUCCCUUCCUUCUUUGAAAAGGUGCUGGAAGAGAUGUUUCUACAUUUAUUCUUGCUAUACCUUUAAAGUAAAUAUCUCUUUGUGAAAGCUUAUUGAUGUCAAGUGUUUCAAUGGAUCUGAGACCCUCUUCACUGGCCUCUAGUUAUGGGAGGGUGGUAGAGCCAGGAGCAGCUCAAACCAAUGGCAGUAGUGAUAAAGUUCAGUCCCAUCCCAAAAGGUUAUAUCCUAGAAACCUGAGUGGAGAUGUAGACUGUCUGGCUCUGGCAGAGUAGAGCAGAACACACCUUCUCCAUGCUAUUUUACUUUCAGUGGUACCACAUAUUGAUUAUCUGGGACACCAGGAGAAUCACCUUUAUUGUUGCUUUAAGAACUAUGGUUUGCAUUCAUGUUCUAUGGUUACAGGUUUUAAGCUUACCCUGGCUGAUUUUUCAAGGACCACAGACAGUUUUGGUCUAGGGAAGAAUCUAUAACACUUCCCUAGGGGACAUUCCUAUAAUGUUGUGUACCAGUGUACACAGUGCAGGUGGGAAAACAUGACCCAGAUGAUAUUGUGAUCUCCUUGGUUGAGCUGAGAUUUUCUCUUCUAAGCCCCCAAACCCAUUCACUCCUGUGUAUUUUGUUGUCUCCACUAUUCUAGGUAACUUCCCCAUCUCUGUUUCAUCAUUUUCUUUGGCAAAUACACUUACCUGCCAUUUGGGGUUGUCUUUUGUGGACUACUAAGUUUCUUGGAGGAGGAGUUAGAGUUGGUCUGGAAUGGAUAUGGUAGAUUCACUCAGGAUUUAGUUUAGGGAAAGGCCCCUGACAUCAAAGUGAUGAAGAAAACAAAGACUCAUUCCAUAGCAGCACCACAGGCUCCCCUGGCUUUUCAAAAUGGCCAAAGUGAUUAAUGGGAGAGGUGAAUAAGCAACCCAAAAGAGAGUCAUAUUUGAACUUGCAUCCAUCUCUGGAUGAACAUCUCUGGAUGGAUGGUGCCUCAUCCAUUCCUCUAUGUAAGCCCAGUAUUUCAGGAUCGGGGUUAGGGGGCUUGUUUUUAAACUGUAUCCCACUAGCAUAGGCUUUUUGUCUUCCAUCCUCUAUUAUACAGACCCAUUAGCCCUAAACUACAAGGACAGUUGGUUGUCUCUCGAACCAAGAAUGACGAUUGUCUUUGUGUGUUUUUGUGCACAAAGACACCUGUGCAUGAAGAUUUAAGUGGAAAAGUCGAUGCACAGAGACAGUCCCACUCUCUUGGCGUUGGAAGCCUGGGUCCAUUGGCACGAAAAGUUGUUACACCUGGAGACUUCCUCAGCUGCAUUGGAUAGCCAUGUUGUCUUUUGUGCUCCAUCACGCCCAUAGCACUCCACAGUGCCUUGCUGCAUCGCCAUCUCAGCCGUUGAACCCUCUUGUUGGUUUCUUCCGCCUGUUCCGCCGAAGCAGUCUUCACAUGCUGGGUGAGCAAAGCCCUAGUUCACCAGGGGUCGACGUUGACCUGAUGGCUACCCUCACAAGGUUUAGCCAGCCUGUCGAAGCCGUUGCUUGGGGUGUGGCCGCUGCCGCAUGCUAGCAGCUACUAGGAGCCACAAGUGAGAGCUGGGUGUCAGGUGAGGGUCAGUGGCUGGAGAGCUGCCCUAGAAGGGCACGACAAGCCCUCCAUACCAGAGAUAUUACCCCUCCCUGAGCACCCAAUACACCCUACAAGGACAGUACUUACUUACAUACCCAUUGCACAUAAACAUAGCAUAUAGAGAUUUAUUUAUGUCCAUGUUAUUUUCCUUGUUAGAGUAUAAGAUCCUGGAGGGCAAGCACUUUUAUUUUUGGAUCUUUAGCAUCUACUAUUGUGCUGAGCAUUUAAUAGAGUAUUAGUAAAUCUUUGUUAUUGAACUAUUAGCUCCUCACAAAAUGUAGGACAGCUAGGUGGUAUAGUAGAUAGAGCACCUCCCUGGAGUCAGAAAGACACUUCUUCCUGAGUUCAAAUCUGACCUCAGACAUUUAUUGGCCUGUGACCCUGGUUAAAUCACUUAACUUUGUUUGCCUCCAUUUUCUCAUCUGUAAAAAGAGCUGGAGAAGGAAAUGACAAGUCCUUCCAGUAUAUUUGCCCAAGAAACCCCAAAUAGGGUCAUGAAGAGUGGGUCACAAUUGAAAUGACCUAAUGACAGCAGUAAAAUGUAAUCUCCUCAAGGGCAGGGAUUGCUUCUUUGCAGUUUUUAUGUACCCAGCAUUUGGCAUAGUGCCUAGCAUCCAGCAGAUAUUUAAUGAUAUAUCAACAUACAAUAAUAUGUUAAUUGGUUGAUGACAUUUCCUUAUCUUCCUCAUCUAAAUGACCAUCAAUGUUUCUCCCCUGGACUCUCCACCAAAAUUCCUGGUCUCAUGCAUCAGGUAGGUCUAGUCAGCAGAUUUACAGCUUUGUCUCCAAACUUCUCCACAAUUCUAACUAGCUAUGCCCACAAAGGCAGUUUAGGCAGCUGUGACUCUCCCUCCCUUUCCCAGCUCUAGUCUCUCUCAAAAAGGGAGCUUCCCAUCCCUUAGUCCUAGGUGAAUUGAGGCAAGUGAAUUCUUUUCAUCAGAUCUGAACAACCUAUUUCCUGUUUUCCAGCCUUGGGCAUAGGCAGGAGACUUUCAUCCACACUCAGCAUCUUCCUCUGAUCUUUCUGAGGAUGGAGAUAAAACAAAGCUUUUUCUUUUGCCUUUGCAAUUUCUAGUAGGCUCAUGCAAGUCUCCAGAAGGCACCAGCAAUUCUGUAAGGAGAAAGGACAAAAAUGGCAGUGUUUACCUGUAUUCUAGCGAUGCCCAGGUCACCUUUACAAGGGAAUGAAUGAGUGCAUGAAUAAAUGAAUGCACCCUUGCCUCA
This 3997-nucleotide long non-coding RNA is filed under the name Monodelphis domestica (gray short-tailed opossum). Its description in RNAcentral is "lncRNA (ENSMODG00000040711.1)". The record is from RNAcentral. Lineage: Eukaryota; Metazoa; Chordata; Mammalia; Didelphimorphia; Didelphidae.